GAUCCGGCUCAGGAUGAACGCUAGCGGCAGGCUUAACACAUGCAAGUCGAGGGGCAGCGGGGUGUAGCAAUACACUGCCGGCGACCGGCGCACGGGUGCGUAACGCGUAUGCAACCUACCCAUAACAGGGGCAUAACACUGAGAAAUUGGUACUAAUUCCCCAUAACAUUCGAAGAGGCAUCUCUUUGGGUUGAAAACUCCGGUGGUUAUGGAUGGGCAUGCGUUGUAUUAGCUAGUUGGUGAGG
This 245-nucleotide ribosomal RNA is filed under the name uncultured bacterium. Its description in RNAcentral is "partial 16S ribosomal RNA". It matches the Rfam family "Bacterial small subunit ribosomal RNA", at positions 15 to 257 of the family's 1533-position model. The record is from RNAcentral.